UCGAGCGCUCGUGGAGAGAGGAUGGCGCUCGUUGUCUUUUGGUUCAUCGCCAGCGUCUUUAGUUUUGUUCAUUUAACACCGCUGAUUUCAGUCGAAGAGGAAUAUCGAUUCAAACAGUGGAUGUCACAGCACAACAAAGUUUACGACGCUGAGGAGUAUGACCACCGGCUCCAGAUAUUCGCACAGAAUAAGAGAAUAAUUGAUCAUCACAAUGCUGGGAAUCACUCCUUCACAAUGGGCCUGAAUCAGUUCUCAGACAUGACAUUUGAGGAAUUCAGGAAAUUCUUCCUUUUGACAGAGCCACAGAACUGCUCAGUUACUAAAGGGAGUCAUGUCACCAGAACUGGUCCUUACCCCGAGUUUGUAGACUGGAGGACGAAAGGCAACUUUGUGACUCCCGUCAAGAAUCAGGGUCGCUGUGGCAGCUGCUGGACCUUCUCCACCACUGGCUGUUUGGAGUCAGUGAAUGCUAUCGCUACUGGGAAGCUAAUAUCUCUGUCUGAGCAGCAGCUGAUAGACUGUGCCAAACACUUCAAUAAUUAUGGAUGCCUGGGUGGGCUCCCCAGCCAGGCAUUAGAGUACAUCAAAUACAACAAAGGUCUCAUGACAGAGGAGGACUAUCCCUACAAAGGCUAUGAUGGCACGUGCCAUUUUGAACCUAAACUUGCAGCUGUCUUUGUCCGGGAUGUUGUGAACAUAACAAGUUAUGAUGAAAAGGCCAUGGUUGAUGCUGUGGCCCGGCUCAAUCCUGUGAGCUUCAGCUUUGACGUCACGAGUGAAUUUAUGCACUACAAAGAAGGUGUUUACACCAGUGUUGUCUGUUUAGCACCCACUGUAAGAACACAGCAGACAGGGUGAAUCAUGCGGUCCUGGCUGUGGGUUACGGUGCUGAGGAGGAUGGCACACCAUAUUGGAUUGCAAAGAACUCUUGGGGCACAGCCUGGGGAAAGGAUGGAUAUUUUUUGAUUGAGCGAGGAAAAAACAUGUGUGGACUGGCUGCGUGCUCUUCCUACCCUCUACCUCCAGUCUGAAGAGCAACAUGGCAACAGAGUGGAGGACUGAUGAAACAUCCUCAGUGGAGUCCAUGUGAUUUCCUUAGUAAUUCUAACUAAAUGUAUGUUUAAUUUACUUAAAUUCAUUAUGUAAUUCAUAUAUUGUGGUUACUUAAUUUGUUAUUGUGCUUUAAAUUAAAUAGUUUUAUUCUACUG
Molecule: RNA transcript, 1208 nt
Organism: Toxotes jaculatrix (banded archerfish)
Lineage: Eukaryota; Metazoa; Chordata; Actinopteri; Toxotidae
Gene name: pro-cathepsin H-like
Exons: 12
Source: RefSeq, a predicted model, not a curated record